CUGUUCAAUACGUGAAAAUACCCAUGAGACAGGCUCCUGCUGAAUAUUUGGUCCCCAUGUCAUCAGUGCUGUAAGUGCACGUUGUCAGUUGUUUAAACAUUGUUGAAUCCACUGUGGGUUGGCAAGAAGCAUCUGGGAGCCAGACCUUUCCUGUGUACACAUGCCAAGUGGUGGAUUGUAUUUCCUCGCUACAGUGAACUAUAUCGAGAUAAUUUUUCUUCUUGAGUUUUUUAAUCCAGAAAUUAUUUUCCAAAGCUAAGUAAAGGAACGUAUGAUAAAAUCAUUUAUAAGAAAGCUACCUGAAUUCUGUAACCACUGGUUGAUUACCACUUUUCUUUAGCAUACAUGUAAACAAAUCAUGCAGUUGGACCACAUGCAGAUAGUUAACUUUAUGAUCCUAAGUAGACUGUUUGGGAAAGUUCAUAUUGUUCUUUCAUAUAUUCUCUUUAAAUCAAUGGUUUACUCUAAGCAAGGACAAUAAACGUUGAAUGACCAUUUAAAUACUGUAGUUGGGCAUGGCAUUAAAUUUACAUGUUUGAUUGCAUGUAAUUAGAUGGAACUAAAACCCUAAAUUACAUUUUACAUAAUGUACAUAAUUAUAGCAUAACAUUUAUUCUAACUAAAAGUGCCAGAAAAAGUUUAUUAAAUGUUAUAUUAAACUUAGAAAAUAUAAGCAGUAGUGAUUUGGGGAUGAGAAAACAAGAAUGCUGUAUCAAACUUGAAAAUAGACAAUAGGUUAGUUUUAGAGCACUGAUUGCCUGACCCCAGGCCCCUAAACUGGUGCUUCAUUUGCUACCCUGGGACACUGUGAACAGAGACCUUGAAAAAGUCACAUCUGGUUUGCCCACAGUGUACAAUGAGAACACCUUCGCUCUUUUACAUAAGAGCAGAUGCUUUGUUUAUGUUGGCUUUAUUUCUGGAAUCCAAGUAAGGGAAACUUUCCAAUGAGAGUUCAGCCUAUCCCUUUAGGAGGCCAAAACUGAUCAAGUGUGUUGUUUUUUAAGCUCAAAUUUUUAUUCUUAACGUACCUUAAAGAGCAUCAAAUACUAUUUUGUGGAAAUGAACACCAGGACUUCAUCAGAAGAGUUCCGUAUGCCUAACCUCCCCUUACUCCCCCAGAAGUUUCUUCCUUGCUUCUUUUGGCAGCCCCUUUC
This 1154-nucleotide long non-coding RNA is filed under the name Marmota monax (woodchuck). The record is from RNAcentral. Lineage: Eukaryota; Metazoa; Chordata; Mammalia; Rodentia; Sciuridae.